CCACGGAGGCAGCAGUGAGGAAUAUUGGUCAAUGGGCGCGAGCCUGAACCAGCCAAGUCGCGUGAGGGAAGACGGUCCUAUGGAUUGUAAACCUCUUUUGUCAGGGAACAAAGGCGGGGACGUGUCCCCGGAUGAGUGUACCUGAAGAAAAAGCAUCGGCUAACUCCGUGCCAGCAGCCGCGGUAAUACGGAGGAUGCGAGCGUUAUCCGGAUUUAUUGGGUUUAAAGGGUGCGCAGGCGGUCUGUUAAGUCAGCGGUCAAAGCCCGGGGCUCAACCCCGGCCCGCCGUUGAAACUGGCAGUCUC
This 305-nucleotide ribosomal RNA is filed under the name uncultured bacterium. RNAcentral describes it as "bacterial SSU rRNA". It matches the Rfam family "Bacterial small subunit ribosomal RNA", at positions 339 to 643 of the family's 1533-position model. The record is from RNAcentral.